RNAcentral lists this long non-coding RNA (311 nucleotides) under Capsella rubella. Its description in RNAcentral is "long non-coding RNA (CRUB_LNC001297)". Lineage: Eukaryota; Viridiplantae; Streptophyta; Magnoliopsida; Brassicales; Brassicaceae. The record is from RNAcentral.
AGGAAGUCUAUAUGGUAGCUUAGUCAUCUGCUGGUGCUUGCGUCCGUCGAUGAGUUCCAUGUACGUUUUCUCAUUUCAUAGAAAAAGCCUUACAAGUUCUUGUUUGGACUAUUAGAUAAAAAAAGAAAAAGAAAAGUAACUUUCUCCUUUAUAAUUUUUUUUUGGCCUAGGAGGACCCAAAAGUUAUGAACACGGGUCUAAUAGUCUAACAUUUGUAAGUGUUAUUGAUUAAGAUCGUAGGCAUGAUAACACAGCAUUCCAAGCUUCAGUAGUCGGUAGGGGCAGUUCCUAGUGUUGUUGAUAUUAUUCUG